This is a non-coding RNA of Lolium perenne, 3172 nucleotides long. The record is from RefSeq and is a predicted model, not a curated record. Lineage: Eukaryota; Viridiplantae; Streptophyta; Magnoliopsida; Poales; Poaceae.
GCACAUAUUCUGUUUCAGGUACUUAUAGCAAAUACAGAGUGGGCCAAUAUUCGAAAAGAGCACAAGACUUGAGGAUUUGAGCAUGCUUGUAGGCCAGCAGCAUCACCUUCAGACUUCGUCACUUGUUGACAGUCUAAAAUUGACCCUGAACUGAUGUCACUAGGCUAAGCAAGACGUCAAAGACCAAAUACGCAUGCCACUAUUGAUUUGCAUAUCGCAGCAGACACAAAACACUUGCAGGCUAAAAUAAUAGGCCAAGUCUAGGACUUGGCCUUUUGGUCAUAUGAUGUUGCAAAGCUAAGCAACAUCAUUUCUUUUAGUUAGUUUCUCAAGAUCCACCUUUUUCUUUCCCGACCCUUUGGGAUCAGAAUUUUGGCCACUGCAAACCUUCUGCAUUCCUUUGAUUAGUUAGUGCUGGGCAAGAUUUAAAAAGUUCUCUCACAGAUUUUAUUUUGGUUUGCAUGUGCUUUGCCCCUCGGUUCUUGUGACCAUGAUGUGGGUAAGCUCAAGGCUCAUCUGGUGUUUCCCAGUUGAGUAGCUGGCCUGCCUCGUGCAUUCAGGUCACAUAUUUUGAUUUUGAUAUAUGCUAAAUUGGUAUCUUCCUGCUAUAUUGAGUUUAACAACUUAUCUAGGUUAGAUAUGCUUUUAAACUGGGAUAUUUGGUACAUCAUACUUAAGUAGUUUACUGAAUGGUACUAAUUGUUCAGAUCACUAUAGUAUCUCAUCCUUGUCCCCUCAGUUCUUCUGUUAGCUGCUCUUGAUUUGAAACCAUCUGAUUUUGUAGUCAGUCGAGUUGUAGUGUUGAGUAAUCAGAACUUGUCAGGUCGUUAAAUUUCAGAGAAUUUCUAUCCUUAAAGGCUGCAAGCCUACCCGGCCAACCAGAACACUCAAUGGGGCAAAAUCAUCUGGUUCGUUUGUUUGGCUUUGCACAGUAAAUCUAAAGUCCCACUUUUCAGCACAGCCGUUAGAUGCAGUCAAAAAAAUUCUCACAUGUGCGUCUUCUGAUAGAGUCCUUGACCUGUAGGACCAGCAACCUGCGGGGCCGACGGCGUGAUGGUUGGGUGGAACAAUAAAAUAUUAAGUUGUGUAGGCAUAGCCAUUGAUUGAAUUAGUUGUUCUAGAAAAUUGUGGAUAGGAAAUUCUUUACGGAAAUCUGAAGGUUGCUUUUGCCUGUGGGGAUAAUCGAAUUGGCAUGCUUACCUCUGUGAACGCGUGAGUACCAAUCGUGAAUACCCACUUCCUUUGAUUAUAGGAAACCAAUGUUUCGUUAUUUUAUUGCAGUGAUUGAAUUAUGUCUUCCAUUUCUAAUGCUUGUGGUAAUUGAUGAAUUGCUUGCAUUAAGCGAGGUCAAGGAUGUGCAAUUUUCCAGCUGAAGAUUUUAUUGUUCAAAUGGGAGUACAGGAAAUUACAAGCACUAGCAACUUUUAAUUGAUUUUUUGUGCUACUAAACAUGGUCAACAGACUAUACUGCGAAAACAGUCUUUUACCGUGAGCGUCCUGAAUACACACUGAUUGCAUCUCCUCCAGGUGUCAUCUUGUCAUGGGCAUUGCCCCGCACCGCCAUGUGCUAGCCAGCAAGAGAGGAAUAUGGCAUCAGAAUGCCCUAGAUUGCUGCACUAGGCACCAACGGCGAGUCGAAGAACAGCAAGGAGCGGCUGCUGUAGCUUUGGACCGCACGGCGCUGGCGACAACAGGUUUGCCCCCUUUAAACCUCGGUCUUCGCAGCCAUUGGAUUCUCUUUUCAUGACUAUAGUACGUUGUAUGGAUAGAAGAAGAAGAGGGCCAGCACAUAUUUGAGAGAAGCAGGCGAGGCGCCAUUGAGAACAGUACUUCAGAUCAUAGGCUUGUAGUACCUUCAGUUGACCUUUGUGACUUAAUUGGAUGAUUUAGAACUGUACUCUAAACCAUAAGUCUUUGACUUUAAGAUGCUCACUGUAAAGAGAAUCUCUCUCUGUGAAGUAGUUGCCUAUUUGACUGGCCUACCAGUCUGCGAUAUUCGUUGGACAUUAGGAAGGAGCAUGUUAAUUUGGUUGAUGCACAAUUACAGAAGUUGGUAUACAGUGGCCGGCUUAGCUGAUCAAGAGGAAUUGGACAGAUUUGCAAAGCUGAUUGACAAGGCAUUUGACUGCAUUUAUAUACUCUACUUUCAAUUUUAUUUCAUGGGUGUCGGGCGUUGGCAGCUUGCUAGCUGCUGGGUGACACGGCCGCGGGCAGCAGUUUAGUGUUCCUCUCAUAUUCAGUUAGGAUGAGAAGACUAGAUACUAUUCGGAAGUGGAUGUAGUACAUUCAGCCAGGUCCAGCCAGGUCUGAAGGCACGCUUAGUGUUUUUCCUGUUGAGUAAUUGGUAUGUACAUGGAGAGAUCUGAUUCUGUCAGCUUCAAAAUUUGCUAAUUCAUCAUCUUCUUUGUACAUACUCUUUGCAGAGAUACAAUCUAUAAGGGAUAUCAACACAUGGUUGCAGUGGUCCAUGUUGUGCACAGUAAUUACUUGAUGAGUAAUGUAAUUGUUGUGUAGUAGUACAAUCUGGCUAUUAGAUAUUGCCAGCAUUUUCUUGCCAUUUGGUUAUUCAAAGAAUUGAUAUUAGGGUAGUAGGACAUAAUAAGACUUUUCGAUAAUAUACAGGUUAAAUAUGUAUUUAAUAAAGGUUCAUUGAUGCAGAGGAUGGGGCUUUCCCGUUUAAAAAGAAGUUAAAUAUGUGAUUAUGCAUAAAAGGAAGUCCCCGGUCUAUUUUUGUUGUGGUAUCUCGGCUUAAUGAUUCUUUCAAGGGAAGACAAGAUGGAAAAGAAGCAUCACGAACUAACCCUGGAGAAUUGAUUGUACCUCACUAGCGUCGCCAGUCUCCUAAGCAAAGGUUGGUGUAAGAACCUUCACCUCCUUCUGUUUCAUGGGAGCCGCUGGCGCCAUGUCGGACGCGAUGACAUCUGGAUUGGCAGAAAACACACAUCGGCUGCGAGCGCGGCCGUAUUUUGGAGCUAAACCUGGAAAGUUUCUUGAUUUAUGACGAAAGUGGAGUUCGUGUGGAAAAGGUGGAGGCAAAUCGGUCGAGGUGGGUUUACACAGGGCUGGCAGUUUGGUCCAUACACACGGAUACAAGAAAUAUGUAUUGGCUAUAUUUGCGUAUACUGUACAUACGAGGUUUUCAUUAGCUAAAUUUGGUUAUAUCUGCGUAUAA